This 230-nucleotide ribosomal RNA is filed under the name uncultured bacterium. RNAcentral describes it as "partial 16S ribosomal RNA". It matches the Rfam family "Bacterial small subunit ribosomal RNA", at positions 106 to 339 of the family's 1533-position model. The record is from RNAcentral.
GUGAGUAACGCGUAGGAAUCUACCUAGUAGUGGGGGGCAACAUGUGGAAACGCAUGCUAAUACCGCAUACGCCCUACGGGGGAAAGGAGGGGAUCUUCGGACCUUUCGCUAUUAGAUGAGCCUGCGUAAGAUUAGCUAGUUGGUGGGGUAAAGGCCUACCAAGGCGACGAUCUUUAGCUGGUCUGAGAGGAUGACCAGUCACACUGGGACUGAGACACGGCCCAGACUCC